RNAcentral lists this ribosomal RNA (468 nucleotides) under uncultured bacterium. RNAcentral describes it as "partial 16S ribosomal RNA". It matches the Rfam family "Bacterial small subunit ribosomal RNA", at positions 28 to 507 of the family's 1533-position model. The record is from RNAcentral.
GACGAACGCUGGCUGCGUGCUUAACACAUGCAAGUCGAGCGGAAAGGACCUGGUUUCUUGCGUUGCUCGGGUGCCGAACGGGCACGUAACACUAGAGUAUCCUCCCCUUGCCUUUGAGUUAGCUUUAGGACACUGGGAGUCAUACCGGUAACGAGCUCCUGCUUCUUCGUGGGUCUUACAACGUUUCGGCGGUUGGGGAUGGACUCGCGGGUUUGCAGCUGGUUGGUGGGGUAGUGGCUUACCAGGGCUUCGACGGGUAGCCGGCCUGAGAGGGUGACCGGCAAAAUGGGGACUGUGAUACGGCCCGGAGUCCUGAGGGAGGCAGCAGUGGGGAAGAGUGCACAAUGGGCGGAAGCAGGAUGCAGCAACGCCGCGUGCGGGAUGACGGCCUUCUGGUAUGAAACGGCUUUGGCCGGGGACGAAGCGUGAGUGACGGUAAUGGAUAAAGAAGCACCGGCUAACUACGUG